GCCGGGUGUGAUGGCACAUGCCUGUAAUCCCAGCAGCUCGGGAGGCUGAGGCAGGAGGAUUGAGAGUUAGUUCAAAGCCAGCCUCAGCAAAGGUGAGGCACUAAGCAACUCAGUGAGAUCCAGUCUUUA
Molecule: small RNA, 129 nt
Filed under: Marmota monax (woodchuck)
Lineage: Eukaryota; Metazoa; Chordata; Mammalia; Rodentia; Sciuridae
Source: RNAcentral